GAGCGGCGGACGGGUGAGUAAUGCCUGGGAAUUUGCCCAGUUGUGGGGGAUAACAGUUGGAAACGACUGCUAAUACCGCAUAAACCCUACGGGGAAAAGGGGAGGCUCUUCGGACUUCUCGCAAUUGGAUAAGCCCAGGUGGGAUUAGCUAGAUGGUGAGGUAAAGGCUCACCAUGGCGACGAUCCCUAGCUGUUCUGAGAGGAUGAUCAGCCACACUGGGACUGAGACACGGCCCAGACUCCUACGGGAGGCAGCAGUGGGGAAUAUUGCACAAUGGGGGAAACCCUGAUGCAGCCAUGCCGCGUGUGUGAAGAAGGCCCUAGGGUUGUAAAGCACUUUCAGUCAGGAGGAAAGAUUAGUAGUUAAUACCUGCUAGCUGUGACGUUACUGACAGAAGAAGGACCGGCUAACUCCGUGCCAGCAGCCGCGGUAAUACGGAGGGUCCGAGCGUUAAUCGGAAUUACUGGGCGUAAAGCGUGCGCAGGCGGUUUGUUAAGUCAGAUGUGAAAGCCCCGGGCUCAACCUGGGAACAGCUUUUGAAACUGACAAACUAGAGUCUUGUAGAGGGGGGUAAAAUUUUCGGGUGUAGC
Molecule: ribosomal RNA, 591 nt
Filed under: Shewanella sp. DFM89
Lineage: Bacteria; Pseudomonadati; Pseudomonadota; Gammaproteobacteria; Alteromonadales; Shewanellaceae
Description: bacterial SSU rRNA
Rfam family: Bacterial small subunit ribosomal RNA
Source: RNAcentral